UCUACUUUAUACCACAGUUAAGUGGUAUCUAAACUGUCAAGCCGCAUACCUCAUUCAUUUUGAAUAGCAAUCUAAAUUCAAACUAGUGUUACUCCCACAUGCAAUUCUUUGUUUUCAAGCAAUUUACAUGAGAUAACUAAACAACCAAACUCCUUCGGCAAGAGCAAAGCUAGGAAUCAGGCACCCAUGUUCGUUCAUACUUUCAAACAACUAAAGAAAAUAAGGUCCAAUGUAGCUUAAAUCCAAGAACAGAGCAGCCAUACAAGAACUUCCGUUCUAUUUUGAUGAUGAUUUUGCAGUUAAAUCUGCAGAAUGGCAACAUUGGGGUGUGUUUGGUAUAAAGUAAAAUGUUUUUCGUGAAAAUAUUUUCUUGAAAAACAAAUAGUAAUCUUAUUCAUGAAAAAUGACUUUUCAAGAGUAUUUAUAAAUAAUUUAGAUAUAAUAUUCAUGAAACCAUAAACUUACAAACCAACAGCCUUCCGGACCCACAAAUUUCAUAAACGUUCGAAUCGUCAAACUUUUAAAACCGCGGAAUUUCGAACUCGUAAACUUUAUAAUUUCUAAACCUGUAAACUUCCAAAUACAUAAACCUCCGAACUUAUAAUUCUGGAACUUGUAAAAUUUUGAGCCUUUAAACCGAUAAAUAAUAAAAUUAAAACUGAAAAAUAUANNNN
RNAcentral lists this long non-coding RNA (674 nucleotides) under Nicotiana benthamiana. RNAcentral's name for it is "long non-coding RNA (NBEN_LNC040005)". Lineage: Eukaryota; Viridiplantae; Streptophyta; Magnoliopsida; Solanales; Solanaceae. The record is from RNAcentral.